Molecule: ribosomal RNA, 772 nt
Filed under: Vibrio alginolyticus
Lineage: Bacteria; Pseudomonadati; Pseudomonadota; Gammaproteobacteria; Vibrionales; Vibrionaceae
Description: bacterial SSU rRNA
Rfam family: Bacterial small subunit ribosomal RNA
Source: RNAcentral
AGGAACUACUGUCGGAGAAGGGCGCCCCCGUUCACAUAUUGACACUCUCAGUUGCGACAGCGUGGGGGCCCACACAGGAUGUGAUCCCCUAGUACUCCACGCCGUAAACGAUGUCUACUGGGAGGUUGUCCCCCCUGAGCCGUACUUUAGGAGCUAACGCGAAAAGUAGACCGCCUGGGGAGUCCGGUCGCAAGAUUAAAACUCAAAUGAAUUGACGGGGGCCCGCACAAGCGGCGGAGCAUGUGGUUUAAUUCGAUGCAACGCGAAGAACCUUACCUACUCUUGACAUCCAGAGAACUUUCCAGAGAUGGAUUGGUGCCUUCGGGAACUCUGAGACAGGUGCUGCAUGGCUGUCGUCAGCUCGUGUUGUGAAAUGUUGGGUUAAGUCCCGCAACGAGCGCAACCCUUAUCCUUGUUUGCCAGCGAGUAAUGUCGGGAACUCCAGGGAGACUGCCGGUGAUAAACCGGAGGAAGGUGGGGACGACGUCAAGUCAUCAUGGCCCUUACGAGUAGGGCUACACACGUGCUACAAUGGCGCAUACAGAGGGCGGCCAACUUGCGAAAGUGAGCGAAUCCCAAAAAGUGCGUCGUAGUCCGGAUUGGAGUCUGCAACUCGACUCCAUGAAGUCGGAAUCGCUAGUAAUCGUGGAUCAGAAUGCCACGGUGAAUACGUUCCCGGGCCUUGUACACACCGCCCGUCACAUACACCGGAGUAGAGUGCGAUACGUGGGUCAGGAUAAGUCGUAACAAGGUAACCAUGCUAGAGUGUUCC